This 335-nucleotide ribosomal RNA is filed under the name uncultured bacterium. RNAcentral describes it as "bacterial SSU rRNA". It matches the Rfam family "Bacterial small subunit ribosomal RNA", at positions 1 to 334 of the family's 1533-position model. The record is from RNAcentral.
ACACGUGAUUCAGAGUUUGAUCCUGGCUCAGAUUGAACGCUGGCGGCAUGCUUUACACAUGCAAGUCGAGCGGCAGCGCGGGGGCAACCCUGGCGGCGAGCGGCGAACGGGUGAGGAAUACAUUGGAACGUACCCCGGAGUGGGGGAUAACGCCGCGAAAGCGGCGCUAAUACCGCAUAUGCUCUGAGGAGGAAAGUGGGGGACCGCAAGGCCUCACGCUCUGGGAGCGGCCGAUGUCGGAUUAGCUAGUUGGUGGGGUAAUGGCUUACCAAGGCGACGAUCCGUAGCUGGUCUGAGAGGAUGAUCAGCCACACUGGGACUGAGACACGGCCCAG